This 963-nucleotide ribosomal RNA is filed under the name uncultured bacterium. RNAcentral describes it as "bacterial SSU rRNA". It matches the Rfam family "Bacterial small subunit ribosomal RNA", at positions 536 to 1500 of the family's 1533-position model. The record is from RNAcentral.
GGGGGGGGUAUCGGAUUACUGGGCGUAAGCGUGCGUAGGCGGCUGAUUAAGUCGGAUGUGAAAUCCCUGAGCUUAACUUAGGAAUUGCAUUCGAUACUGGUCAGCUAGAGUAUGGGAGAGGAUGGUAGAAUUCCAGGUGUAGCGGUGAAAUGCGUAGAGAUCUGGAGGAAUACCGAUGGCGAAGGCAGCCAUCUGGCCUAAUACUGCCGCUGAGGUACGAAAGCAUGGGGAGCAAACAGGAUUAGAUACCCUGGUAGUCCAUGCCGUAAACGAUGUCUACUAGCCGUUGGGGCCUUUGAGGCUUUAGUGGCGCAGCUAACGCGAUAAGUAGACCGCCUGGGGAGUACGGUCGCAAGACUAAAACUCAAAUGAAUUGACGGGGGCCCGCACAAGCGGUGGAGCAUGUGGUUUAAUUCGAUGCAACGCGAAGAACCUUACCUGGUCUUGACAUAGUAAGAACUUUCCAGAGAUGGAUUGGUGCCUUCGGGAACUUACAUACAGGUGCUGCAUGGCUGUUGUCAGCUCGUGUCGUGAGAUGUUGGGUUAAGUCCCGCAACGAGCGCAACCCUUUUCCUUAUUUGCCAGCACUUCGGGUGGGAACUUUAAGGAUACUGCCAGUGACAAACUGGAGGAAGGCGGGGACGACGUCAAGUCAUCAUGGCCCUUACGACCAGGGCUACACACGUGCUACAAUGGUCGGUACAAAGGGUUGCUACCUAGCGAUAGGAUGCUAAUCUCAAAAAGCCGAUCGUAGUCCGGAUUGGAGUCUGCAACUCGACUCCAUGAAGUCGGAAUCGCUAGUAAUCGCGGAUCAGAAUGCCGCGGUGAAUACGUUCCCGGGCCUUGUACACACCGCCCGUCACACCAUGGGAGUUUGUUGCACCAGAAGUAGCUAGCCUAACUGCAAAGAGGGCGGUUACCACGGUGUGGCCGAUGACUGGGGUGAAGUCGUAACAAGGUAAC